Molecule: ribosomal RNA, 468 nt
Filed under: uncultured bacterium
Lineage: Bacteria
Description: partial 16S ribosomal RNA
Rfam family: Bacterial small subunit ribosomal RNA
Source: RNAcentral
GACGAACGCUGGCGGCGUGCUUAAUACAUGCAAGUCGAACGGAAAGGCCCUGCUUUUGUGGGGUUCUCGAUUGGCGAACGGGUGAGUAACACGCGAGUAACCUGCCCCUGACUUUGGGAUAACUUCAGGAAACUCGGGCUAAUACCGGAUAUGAGCUCUUGCUGCAUGGUGGGGGUAGGAAAGUUACGGCGGUUGGGGAUGUACUCGCGGCUUAUCAGCUUGUUGGUGGGGUAGGGGCUUACCAAGGGUUUGACGGGUAGCCGGCCUGAGAGGGUUACCGGCCACAUUGGGACUGAGAUACGGCCCAGACUGCUACGGGAGGCAGCAGUGGGAAAUAUUGCACAAUGGGCGGAAGCCUGAUGCAGCGGCGCCGCGUGCGGGAUGACGGCCUUCGGGUUGUAAACCGCUUUCGCCUGUGACGAAGCGUGCGUGACGGUACUGGGUAAGAAAGCACCGGCUAACUACGUG